Hyaena hyaena (striped hyena) is the source of this 223-nucleotide long non-coding RNA. RefSeq lists it as uncharacterized. Lineage: Eukaryota; Metazoa; Chordata; Mammalia; Carnivora; Hyaenidae. The transcript is spliced from 2 exons. The record is from RefSeq and is a predicted model, not a curated record.
CAGCAAACUAAUGAGAGGAGGAAGGAGGCCCCUACACUUGGGCACCUCCAGGAACUUACUACAGCUCCAGACACACUGUAAACACCUGCAUCCAACCUAAGAUAAACUGGAUGAAAUUGGAUUUCUGAACCACAAGACAGGCCUGAAAUGUUCCAAAGCUCAGUUCUGUGAGUAAAUUGCAACCAAGAUUUCUACAAAAAACAAAACAAAACAAACAAACAAA